This 377-nucleotide ribosomal RNA is filed under the name uncultured bacterium. RNAcentral's name for it is "bacterial SSU rRNA". It matches the Rfam family "Bacterial small subunit ribosomal RNA", at positions 523 to 898 of the family's 1533-position model. The record is from RNAcentral.
AUACGUAGGGGGCGAGCGUUGUCCGGAAUUAUUGGGCGUAAAGCGCGCGUAGGCGGUCAUUUAAGUCAGGCGUGAAAAACCUAGGCUCAACCAAGGUAUUGCGUUUGAAACUGGAUGACUUGAGGGCAGGAGAGGAUAGCGGAAUUCCUAGUGUAGCGGUGAAAUGCGUAGAGAUUAGGAGGAACACCAGUGGCGAAGGCGGCUAUCUGGCCUGUACCUGACGCUGAGGUGCGAAAGCUGGGGGAGCGAACGGGAUUAGAUACCCCGGUAGUCCCAGCCGUAAACGAUGGGCACUAGGUGUAGGAGGUAUCGACCCCUUCUGUGCCGUAGCUAACGCAAUAAGUGCCCCGCCUGGGGAGUACGGUCGCAAGACUGAA